UCCCUGGUGGCUCAGAGGUUAAAGCAUCUGCCUGGAAUCCAGGAGACCUGGGUUCGAUCCCUGGGUCGGGAA
This 72-nucleotide transfer RNA is filed under the name Bos taurus (domestic cattle). It matches the Rfam family "tRNA". Rfam says of the family: Transfer RNA (tRNA) molecules are approximately 80 nucleotides in length. Their secondary structure includes four short double-helical elements and three loops (D, anti-codon, and T loops). Further hydrogen bonds mediate the characteristic L-shaped molecular structure. tRNAs have two regions of fundamental functional importance: the anti-codon, which is responsible for specific mRNA codon recognition, and the 3' end, to which the tRNAs corresponding amino acid is attached (by aminoacyl-tRNA synthetases). tRNAs cope with the degeneracy of the genetic code in two manners: having more than one tRNA (with a specific anti-codon) for a particular amino acid; and 'wobble' base-pairing, i.e. permitting non-standard base-pairing at the 3rd anti-codon position. Lineage: Eukaryota; Metazoa; Chordata; Mammalia; Artiodactyla; Bovidae. The record is from Rfam by way of RNAcentral. RNAcentral also lists the same sequence under 2 other names.